RNAcentral lists this ribosomal RNA (581 nucleotides) under Sydowia sp. Di201. Its description in RNAcentral is "eukaryotic LSU rRNA". The stretch from base 213 to 366 matches the Rfam family "5.8S ribosomal RNA". Lineage: Eukaryota; Fungi; Ascomycota; Dothideomycetes; Dothideales; Dothioraceae. The record is from RNAcentral.
UUCCGUAGGUGAACCUGCGGAAGGAUCAUUAAAGAGAUAGGGUCUUCACGGCCCGACCUCCAACCCUCUGUUGUUAAAACUACCUUGUUGCUUUGGCGGGACCGUCUCGGUCUCCGAGCGCACUAACCUUCGGGUUGGUGAGUGCCCGCCAGAGUCCAACCAAACUCUUGUAUUAAACCAGUCGUCUGAGUAUAAAAUUUUAAUUAAAUUAAAACUUUCAACAACGGAUCUCUUGGUUCUCGCAUCGAUGAAGAACGCAGCGAAAUGCGAUAAGUAAUGUGAAUUGCAGAAUUCAGUGAAUCAUCGAAUCUUUGAACGCACAUUGCGCCCCUUGGUAUUCCGAGGGGCAUGCCUGUUCGAGCGUCAUUACACCACUCAAGCAUCGCUUGGUAUUGGGAACGGUCCGUCGAAAGGCGGGCCUUCCUCGAAGACCUCGGCGGGGUUCAACCAACUUCGGGCGUAGUAGAGUUAAAUCGAACGUCUUAUAAGCUUGGUCGGAUCUCAUUGCCGUUAAACCUUUUAAAUUUUCUAGGUUGACCUCGGAUCAGGUAGGGAUACCCGCUGAACUUAAGCAUAUCAAU